CGUGGGAAUUAAGAGUGGCAGUC
This 23-nucleotide microRNA is filed under the name Gallus gallus (chicken). RNAcentral's name for it is "gga-miR-7451-5p". The record is from miRBase by way of RNAcentral. Lineage: Eukaryota; Metazoa; Chordata; Aves; Galliformes; Phasianidae.